RNAcentral lists this ribosomal RNA (253 nucleotides) under uncultured bacterium. RNAcentral's name for it is "partial 16S ribosomal RNA". It matches the Rfam family "Bacterial small subunit ribosomal RNA", at positions 524 to 776 of the family's 1533-position model. The record is from RNAcentral.
UACGAGGGGUGCAAGCGUUGCUCGGAAUUAUUGGGCGUAAAGGGCAGGUAGGUGGUCUUAUUUGUCUUGUGUGAAAUCCUUGGGCUUAACUCAAGAAGUGCGCAAGAAACGGUAAGACUAGAGUCCCAGAGAGGCUUGUGGAAUUCCCGGUGUAGCGGUGAAAUGCGCAGAUAUCAGGAAGAACACCCGUGGCGAAGGCGGCUCUCUGGAACGCAACUGACGCUGAGACGCGAAAGCGUGGGGAGCAAACAGG